GUUAUUUUCAUUUCUUCUCACCUGCAAAACCCUAAUCGUCUUCAUUUUUUGUUAAAGUUUCAUUUGUUGCAGAAGAAAUCUUCAAUAGUAUAGAGAGCAAAAAGAAAAAAUUAAAAGGGGGAGCAGAUGUCACUCCUGCUGAAGCCUUCGCGGAGACGCAUAAGAAGAAGAAGGAAGACGGUACAAGAGAAGAAUGGAUUGAGAUGCGUGCUAAGGACACAUAUGAAGAAUUUCAAAAAAGUUUGAAAAAUUGAAGUCAGACUUAGCCAACUUCAGAGGACGAUACCCCAUUCCAACCAUCACUCACAUAGAUGAAUUCAAUAUGGACAGAGGUGGCGGGUGGUCCUAAGCAAAGUAGAGUCUACGAAUUUUGAGUUAUACGUUCUUCGGGUAGGCCUUCACCAUUGUCGUCCAGUGCUUAUACGUACAAAAUGUGGAAGAAAUGGAAGAGAUGCGAAAGGAGAUAGCAGAGCUAAAGAUAGAUGUAAAACUUCUGACGAUAGGGUUGCUAGAUUUGAGAAGCUUAUAAUGAAGUACAUGCCUCAAGCAUGUGAUGAUGAAGACGACACUGAAUCUGAUGAGGAUUAGACCGCAGUUGUUGAUUGUGAAAUUUAGAUUUAAAGUUGAUCUUGAUUAUUAGUUUGGGAUGUACCUUAAUGAUGUUUGCCUAGGAUGCUUUAAAUAUUUUGAUGUAUUUGACUAUUUCUGUUAAUUAUGUUUGUCUAAGAUGUUUUAUGCUAUUUUGAUGA
This is a long non-coding RNA of Capsicum annuum, 749 nucleotides long. RefSeq lists it as uncharacterized. The record is from RefSeq and is a predicted model, not a curated record. Lineage: Eukaryota; Viridiplantae; Streptophyta; Magnoliopsida; Solanales; Solanaceae. The transcript has 4 exons.